GCUCAGCAGACGGGAUGUGAUUGCUGCAAGGAGUGGGCUUUGUGCUAGGAGAUCACAGAAGGGGCAGCAUGUCUACCUGCCAUCUGUAGCCAUCUACUUUGCACAGGAUGAAUAGGCAGCCUGUCUAAGCAGAUCAGACUGCUAGAGAAUAUAGGGAUAGCUGCUAGAUUGCCCUGACCUAGAUUUAUCUAUAGGAUGCCCAGUGUGACCGAUACACACUGAGAGUCAUCCAGUCCUACUGAAAGGUUGAGUCGAGAUCGGUCACUCCUCGUCACCGACCAGAUCGCCCAGUAGCCUUUGGAAGGGUGAGGAUGAAGGAUCGCACCCGGGAGCUGCGCGCUGCUAAAGACAGCGAUGAAGAUGAUGAAGUGGCUGUCAGCUUGGAUCGAGACCGCUUCAUGGAUGAAUUCUUUGAACAGGUGGAGGAGAUCAGAGGUUUCAUUGACAAGAUAGCCGAGAAUGUGGAGGAAGUAAAAAGAAAGCACAGCGCUAUCCUUGCUUCUCCUAACCCAGAUGAGAAAACCAAGGUAGAAUUGGAAGAGCUGAUGUCGGACAUCAAAAAGACAGCCAACAAGGUCCGCUCCAAGCUGAAGAAUAUUGAACAAAGCAUUGAACAGGAAGAAGCCAUGAACCGCUCUUCUGCUGACCUGCGUAUCCGAAAAACACAGCACUCAACAUUGUCUCGCAAGUUUGUAGAGGUGAUGUCUGAAUACAAUGCAACUCAGUCAGAUUACCGUGAACGCUGCAAAGGCCGUAUCCAGAGACAGCUUGAAAUCACUGGGAGAACUACAACAAGUGAAGAGCUGGAAGACAUGUUGGAAAGUGGAAACCCAGCCAUCUUCUCAUCAGGGAUCAUCAUGGACUCUAACAUUACUAAGCAAGCCCUGAACGAGAUUGAGACUCGGCACAGCGAAAUCAUCAAACUGGAGAACAGCAUUCGGGAGCUGCAUGACAUGUUCAUGGACAUGGCAAUGCUUGUAGAGAGCCAGGUUAAAGCUGAUCGGAGCAAGUGGGGCUGAAAGCCACCCACAGAAGAACAGGUAACAUGCAAGUGAUGAAGAUUUAACAGCAACGUAUUAAGUAACUCUUUUUCUGGCCCUCUUCUAUUAUCCCUUGCUCACUCUUCCUAUAUCACUUUCCACUUUCUCUAUCUUCUACUGCGGUCUUCUGCUAUUUCUAUUGUCCUGGACUUGUCUCCUGUGUUCUCUGAACUUUAUCACGUCUUUUCUGCAUUGUGCCUUCAUAUUUAUCUCUUUUGGUCAUUCGAAUGUUUCUGUGACCUUUUAUUUGUUUCUGCUUCUAUUUUCUCCAUGCUCGUUCCUUGCCCUCUGCUCUGUGAACCUUGUCUUCGAUAUAAAUUUCAUUCUCAUACUAACUGAUAAUGCAUGCUUCCUCUCUGCCAUGAACAUGGCUAUGACCACUUGCAUGUGUCUGAUCUCGUAUGUCGCUUUUAUGUAUUUCUCCAACUUCUCUGUGUUACUUUCUCUCUCUCUCUUGAUGUCUUCCGAACUUCUCUGGCUCCUUCUUUUUGGCCUCUUCUGUCUCUCCUUUUCCCUGCCCCCUUCUUUCUACACACCAUCAGGGAGAGAUGAUCGAUCGCAUCGAAUAUAACGUGGAGCAUUCAGUGGAUUAUGUGGAAAGAGCUGUGUCUGACACCAAAAAAGCUGUCAAGUACCAGAGUAAAGCCAGAAGGAAGAAGAUCAUGAUCAUUAUCUGCUGUGUGGUGCUUGGGAUUGUUAUUGCUUCAACGUUCGGAGGAAUAUUCGGAUAGAGAACAGAACAGCAGCCACAAAUUGCAUGUUCUGGACAUGGCAGGAAAUAUGCGGUAAUCAGUGCAAGCCGCACCUGAAGGUGGGGGACUGACAGCGAAAACACGCUUCCCAAGCGGAGAGCCCCUCUGCAUGACUACCCUGUGUGUAACCCAGCGCACGUACCCAGGGAGAGACUGUUUGCUGCGGGAGGGGGAGGAAGGGUUUUUAAAAAGCCAGACCAUUGACUUGGAAUUGGAUGCAAAGCAACGCCCGUGCUUCUUACCUCCAAGAAGAGAAUUCUCCAGCAGUGAUGAAUCCAGCUUGGUGCUUUUAGGGAUCAAUAUAGGGUUAGAUUUCUUGUGCUGCCUUUAUAUUUUGUCCCCAUGCCCACCAGAUGCCUUUUGGAUUUGGAGAAGGAUCUACCACAGCCAACUAGACGCCAGUGUUGGGCCAAAGUGCCAAGCAUAGCCAAUUUAUUUCCACUACAUUCCUCCCCCCCCUCUGAACAAAAAAUUACUUGGGACAGCGCGCUGGGACAGACCACGUUGGCCUCCCCUUUGCAUGACAGGGGUUCAGUGUUGGGUUAAACAUUUUAAGGUUGGAAUAUGCUUUGUGUGAUCCUCGCCCUUAAUCAACACCUCUCCAGGAGAGGGGCACAUUCCCAUUUUUUUGUAUCAUGUGCAUACAUUUCCUUUUUGUAAUUGUGUGAGCAAGGUGUCCACUUGUGUGUGUAUAUGUCUCUCUAAACCACAUAUGCAGACAAAUCAAUGUGUGAGGAGACUCCUGUGUACUGGAAGCUGUGCACAUGUCACAGUGGGGCACGGCGGAGCCAUCGGGUUGAUGAUGGUAAACCAAGCCCUGACGUGCCUUACGGCUUGCACCAUUCGGGAGUUAACCCCUUUUAGAGCUGGGAAAAUCUCUCUACUUUCCCAACUCCAAAGGGAUUAAUCACCAGCAUGUUUUGUGAGGAGAGUUUUUAUAUUUGGUGUUAUAUCUUCCUGGUGUAUUUUGUCUGCAGCCCUUCUGUGGCAUUUAAUAAAUGACGUGACUUUGGGAA
Bufo bufo (common toad) is the source of this 2808-nucleotide RNA transcript. It is a transcript of the gene named syntaxin 1A, with no coding region annotated. NCBI's taxonomy places the organism in Eukaryota, Metazoa, Chordata, Amphibia, Anura, Bufonidae. The transcript has 10 exons. The record is from RefSeq and is a predicted model, not a curated record.